RNAcentral lists this ribosomal RNA (430 nucleotides) under uncultured bacterium. RNAcentral describes it as "bacterial SSU rRNA". It matches the Rfam family "Bacterial small subunit ribosomal RNA", at positions 917 to 1350 of the family's 1533-position model. The record is from RNAcentral.
GGGCCCGCACAAGCGGUGGAGCAUGUGGUUUAAUUCGAUGAUACGCGAGGAACCUUACCAGGGCUUAAAUGUUAGGUGACAGAUCUAGAAAUAGAUUUUUCUUCGGACACUUAACAAGGUGCUGCAUGGUUGUCGUCAGCUCGUGCCGUGAGGUGUCAGGUUAAGUCCUAUAACGAGCGCAACCCCUGUUGUUAGUUGCCAGCGAGUAAUGUCGGGAACUCUAGCAAGACUGCCAGUGCAAACUGUGAGGAAGGUGGGGAUGACGUCAAAUCAUCACGGCCCUUACGUCCUGGGCUACACACGUGCUACAAUGGUAGGUACAGAGAGCAGCCAAUGCGCGAGCAUGAGCAAAUCUAUAAAACCUAUCCCAGUUCGGAUUGAAGUCUGCAACUCGACUUCAUGAAGUUGGAAUCGCUAGUAAUCGGAUAUC